This is a non-coding RNA of Parelaphostrongylus tenuis, 71 nucleotides long. The record is from the annotation of a GenBank genome assembly. Lineage: Eukaryota; Metazoa; Nematoda; Chromadorea; Rhabditida; Metastrongylidae.
ACCUUGGUGGUGUAGUGGUAGCAUACAACCCCGGUAUGUAUGAAUGCGGGUUCGACUCCCGUCUGAGGGCG